GUACACUCCUGCGGGAGGCAGCAGUGGGGAAUAUUGGACAAUGGGCGCAAGCCUGAUCCAGCCAUGCCGCGUGAGUGAUGAAGGCCCUAGGGUUGUAAAGCUCUUUCACCGGAGAAGAUAAUGACGGUAUCCGGAGAAGAAGCCCCGGCUAACUUCGUGCCAGCAGCCGCGGUAAUACGAAGGGGGCUAGCGUUGUUCGGAAUUACUGGGCGUAAAGCGCACGUAGGCGGAUCGAUCAGUCAGGGGUGAAAUCCCAGGGCUCAACCCUGGAACUGCCUUUGAUACUGUCGAUCUGGAGUAUGGAAGAGGUGAGUGGAAUUCCGAGUGUAGAGGUGAAAUUCGUAGAUAUUCGGAGGAACACCAGUGGCGAAGGCGGCUCACUGGUCCAUUACUGACGCUGAGGUGCGAAAGCGUGGGGAGCAAACAGGAUUAGAUACCCUAGUAGUCCC
RNAcentral lists this ribosomal RNA (449 nucleotides) under uncultured organism. RNAcentral describes it as "partial 16S ribosomal RNA". It matches the Rfam family "Bacterial small subunit ribosomal RNA", at positions 331 to 797 of the family's 1533-position model. The record is from RNAcentral.